AAAAGUUAAGAUCUUAAAAGUUAAAUAUUUUGGCGGUAUUUUAGUCUUUUCAGAGGAACCUGUUUCGUAAUUGAUAUUCCACAAUUUAAAUUACUUUUAUUAGAAAUUUAUAUAUCGUCGUUAAAAUUAUUUUUAUUGAAAUUAAUAAUUAAAAUAUUUUUAAAAUAAAAAUUCAGAUCAAGGUAUAGUUUAUAUAAAAGUGUUAAUGGGUUACUAUUAAAAAUACAGAUUUACAGUUUUAAAUUGUGAUGAAGUUGGAUUUGUAAGUAAUUAUUAAUAA
This 280-nucleotide ribosomal RNA is filed under the name Subcoccinella vigintiquattuorpunctata (24-pointed ladybird beetle). RNAcentral's name for it is "Subcoccinella vigintiquatuorpunctata (24-pointed ladybird beetle) partial 12S ribosomal RNA". Lineage: Eukaryota; Metazoa; Arthropoda; Insecta; Coleoptera; Coccinellidae. The record is from RNAcentral.